UUAUAAAAGAAGCACCGGCUAACUUCGUGCCAGCAGCCGCGGUAAUACGAGGGGUGCUAGCGUUAAUCGGAAUUACUGGGCGUAAAGGGUGUGUAGGUUGUGAUAAUAUGUUGUUUGUUAAAUUUAUUAAUAAAAUUAAUAAGAUAAACAAAACUUUAUUACUAGAGUAUAAAAGAAGAAAAUAGAAUUCCAAGAGUAGCAGUGAAAUGCUUAGAUAUUUGGAGGAAUACUAGUGGCGAAGGCGUUUUUCUAUUUUAAUACUGACACUGAUGCACGAAAGCGUGGGGAGCAAACAGGAUUAGAUACCCUGGUAGUCCACGCAGUAAACGUUGUCAACUAUUUAUUAAAUAACAUAAUUUUUAUAAUAAUUUUAAAGUUUUAUAAAUUAUGUAUUUUUAGUGAAAAAGCUAACGCGUUAAGUUGACCGCCUGGGGAU
RNAcentral lists this ribosomal RNA (436 nucleotides) under Candidatus Carsonella ruddii. Its description in RNAcentral is "bacterial SSU rRNA". It matches the Rfam family "Bacterial small subunit ribosomal RNA", at positions 479 to 880 of the family's 1533-position model. The record is from RNAcentral. Lineage: Bacteria; Pseudomonadati; Pseudomonadota; Gammaproteobacteria; Oceanospirillales; Halomonadaceae.